RNAcentral lists this ribosomal RNA (774 nucleotides) under uncultured Neocallimastigales. RNAcentral describes it as "partial large subunit ribosomal RNA". It matches the Rfam family "Eukaryotic large subunit ribosomal RNA", at positions 22 to 649 of the family's 3401-position model. Lineage: Eukaryota; Fungi; Neocallimastigomycota; Neocallimastigomycetes; Neocallimastigales. The record is from RNAcentral.
GUACACGCUGUGACUAGCAUAUCAAUAAGCGGAGGAAAAGAAACUAACAAGGAUUCCCUCAGUAACGGCGAGUGAAGCGGGAAGAGCUCAAAUUUGAAAUCUUGAAAGGUCACCUUUCACGAAUUGUAGUUUAAAGAAGUGUUUUCUGUUACGAUCGUAAUAUAAGUUCUUUGGAAUAGGACAUCACAGAGGGUGAGAAUCCCGUCUAUGAUUGCGAUUUGUAGCUUUGUGAUACACUUUCAAAGAGUCGGAUUGUUUGGGAAUGCAGUCCAAAAUGGGUGGUAAAUUUCGUCUAAAGCUAAAUAUUGGCGAGAGACCGAUAGCGAACAAGUACCGUGAGGGAAAGAUGAAAAGAACUUUGAAAGGAGAGUUAAACAGUACGUGAAAUUGUCAAAAGGGAAGCGUUUGUCACCAGUGUUGUUUUCUCGAAAAUCAAUUAAAAAUGGCUCGAUUUUGUAUUGCUGAGACCUUAAAAGCUCACUGUACAUUUUUCGUGUCUUUUUUAAUGCACUUUUCGUUUAACAAGUCAACAUCAGUUUCUUUUGUUGUAAAGGGUCAUUGGAAGGUGGCUUUCUUUUCGGAGAAAGUGUUUAUAGCCUUUGGCCUCUGCAAUCGGAAGAGACUGAGGUCUGCAGCGUAGACUCUUCGGGGUUAGAUACAUUUGUGCUAAGUUAUAGCUUUUUAUAGACAACUUGUUGACUAUAAUUAGUCUUGUAGCUUACUCGCUUAUGCUAUUUUACCUACGCUUAGGAUGUUGAGUAGCGACAUACGCAC